This 1525-nucleotide ribosomal RNA is filed under the name Escherichia coli. RNAcentral describes it as "bacterial SSU rRNA". It matches the Rfam family "Bacterial small subunit ribosomal RNA". Lineage: Bacteria; Pseudomonadati; Pseudomonadota; Gammaproteobacteria; Enterobacterales; Enterobacteriaceae. The record is from RNAcentral.
UGAACGCUGGCGGCAGGCCUAACACAUGCAAGUCGAACGGUAACAGGAAGCAGCUUGCUGCUUUGCUGACGAGUGGCGGACGGGUGAGUAAUGUCUGGGAAACUGCCUGAUGGAGGGGGAUAACUACUGGAAACGGUAGCUAAUACCGCAUAACGUCGCAAGACCAAAGAGGGGGACCUUAGGGCCUCUUGCCAUCGGAUGUGCCCAGAUGGGAUUAGCUAGUAGGUGGGGUAACGGCUCACCUAGGCGACGAUCCCUAGCUGGUCUGAGAGGAUGACCAGCCACACUGGAACUGAGACACGGUCCAGACUCCUACGGGAGGCAGCAGUGGGGAAUAUUGCACAAUGGGCGCAAGCCUGAUGCAGCCAUGCCGCGUGUAUGAAGAAGGCCUUCGGGUUGUAAAGUACUUUCAGCGGGGAGGAAGGGAGUAAAGUUAAUACCUUUGCUCAUUGACGUUACCCGCAGAAGAAGCACCGGCUAACUCCGUGCCAGCAGCCGCGGUAAUACGGAGGGUGCAAGCGUUAAUCGGAAUUACUGGGCGUAAAGCGCACGCAGGCGGUUUGUUAAGUCAGAUGUGAAAUCCCCGGGCUCAACCUGGGAACUGCAUCUGAUACUGGCAAGCUUGAGUCUCGUAGAGGGGGGUAGAAUUCCAGGUGUAGCGGUGAAAUGCGUAGAGAUCUGGAGGAAUACCGGUGGCGAAGGCGGCCCCCUGGACGAAGACUGACGCUCAGGUGCGAAAGCGUGGGGAGCAAACAGGAUUAGAUACCCUGGUAGUCCACGCCGUAAACGAUGUCGACUUGGAGGUUGUGCCCUUGAGGCGUGGCUUCCGGAGCUAACGCGUUAAGUCGACCGCCUGGGGAGUACGGCCGCAAGGUUAAAACUCAAAUGAAUUGACGGGGGCCCGCACAAGCGGUGGAGCAUGUGGUUUAAUUCGAUGCAACGCGAAGAACCUUACCUGGUCUUGACAUCCACGGAAGUUUUCAGAGAUGAGAAUGUGCCUUCGGGAACCGUGAGACAGGUGCUGCAUGGCUGUCGUCAGCUCGUGUUGUGAAAUGUUGGGUUAAGUCCCGCAACGAGCGCAACCCUUAUCCUUUGUUGCCAGCGGUCCGGCCGGGAACUCAAAGGAGACUGCCAGUGAUAAACUGGAGGAAGGUGGGGAUGACGUCAAGUCAUCAUGGCCCUUACGACCAGGGCUACACACGUGCUACAAUGGCGCAUACAAAGAGAAGCGACCUCGCGAGAGCAAGCGGACCUCAUAAAGUGCGUCGUAGUCCGGAUUGGAGUCUGCAACUCGACUCCAUGAAGUCGGAAUCGCUAGUAAUCGUGGAUCAGAAUGCCACGGUGAAUACGUUCCCGGGCCUUGUACACACCGCCCGUCACACCAUGGGAGUGGGUUGCAAAAGAAGUAGGUAGCUUAACCUUCGGGAGGGCGCUUACCACUUUGUGAUUCAUGACUGGGGUGAAGUCGUAACAAGGUAACCGUAGGGGAACCUGCGGUUGGAUCACCUCCUUACCUUAAAGAAGC